RNAcentral lists this ribosomal RNA (468 nucleotides) under uncultured bacterium. RNAcentral describes it as "partial 16S ribosomal RNA". It matches the Rfam family "Bacterial small subunit ribosomal RNA", at positions 28 to 507 of the family's 1533-position model. The record is from RNAcentral.
GACGAACGCUGGCGGCGUGCUUAACACAUGCAAGUCGAACGGAAAGGCCCUGCUUUUGUUGGUUGCUCGAUUGGCGCACGGGUGAGUAUCACGUGUGUAACCUGCCCUUGACUUUCUGAUAACUUCAGGAAACUGCGGCUCAUACCGGAUAUGAUCUCCUGCUGCGUGGUGGUGGUUGGAAAGUUUCGGCGGUUGGGGCUGGUCUCGCGGCUUAUCAGCUUGUUGGUGGGGUAGUGGCUUACCAAGGCUUUGACGGGUAGCCGGCCUGGGAGGGUGACCGGCCACAUUGGGACUGAGAGACGGACCAGACUCCUACGGGAGGCAGCAGUGGGGAAUAUUGCACAAUGGGCGGAAGCCUGAUGCAGCGACGCCGCGUGCGGGAUGACGGGCUUCGGGUGGUAAACCGAUGUCGCCUGUGACGAAGAGUGAGUGACGGUAAUGGGUAAAAAAGCACCGGCUAACUACGUG